GGAAACGUGCCCGAAAAUUAAGGAUCUCCUUGAUAGGGAGAAUAAUAGGGGUUCAAACCCCCUCGCUUCCU
Molecule: transfer RNA, 71 nt
Filed under: Ameerega hahneli
Lineage: Eukaryota; Metazoa; Chordata; Amphibia; Anura; Dendrobatidae
Description: tRNA-Ile
Rfam family: tRNA
About the family: Transfer RNA (tRNA) molecules are approximately 80 nucleotides in length. Their secondary structure includes four short double-helical elements and three loops (D, anti-codon, and T loops).
Source: RNAcentral